AUAAUAAACAAAUGUUCGGUU
Non-coding RNA from Caenorhabditis elegans, 21 nucleotides. Lineage: Eukaryota; Metazoa; Nematoda; Chromadorea; Rhabditida; Rhabditidae. The record is from Ensembl.